This 489-nucleotide ribosomal RNA is filed under the name uncultured bacterium. Its description in RNAcentral is "bacterial SSU rRNA". It matches the Rfam family "Bacterial small subunit ribosomal RNA", at positions 57 to 518 of the family's 1533-position model. The record is from RNAcentral.
GCAAGUCGAACGGUCGUUUCUAUGGAAGCUUGCUUCCACUGAGAAGAUAGUGGCGAACGGGUGAGUAACACGUGGGUAACCUGCCCAUAAGAGGGGGAUAACAUCCGGAAACGGGUGCUAAUACCGCAUAGUUUUCUUGAUUGCAUGAUUGAGAAGGAAAGACGGCCUUUGUGCUGUCGCUUAUGGAUGGACCCGCGGCGUAUUAGUUAGUUGGUGAGGUAACGGCUCACCAAGACGAUGAUACGUAGCCGACCUGAGAGGGUGAUCGGCCACAUUGGGACUGAGACACGGCCCAAACUCCUACGGGAGGCAGCAGUAGGGAAUCUUCCGCAAUGGACGAAAGUCUGACGGAGCAACGCCGCGUGAGUGAAGAAAAGGUUUUCGGAUCGUAAAACUCUGUUGUCAGAGAAGAACAAGUUGGAGAGUAACUGCUCCAGCCUUGACGGUACCUGACCAGAAAGCCACGGCUAACUACGUGCCAGCAGCUGC